This 468-nucleotide ribosomal RNA is filed under the name uncultured bacterium. Its description in RNAcentral is "partial 16S ribosomal RNA". It matches the Rfam family "Bacterial small subunit ribosomal RNA", at positions 28 to 507 of the family's 1533-position model. The record is from RNAcentral.
GACGAACGCUGGCGGCGUGCUUAACACAUGCAAGUCGAACGGAAAGGCCCUGCUUUUGUGGGGUGCUCGAGUGGCGAACGGGUGAGUAACACGUGAGUAACCUGCCCUUGACUUUGGGAUAACUUCAGGAAACUGGGGCUAAUACCGGAUAGGAGCUCCUGCUGCAUGGUGGGGGUUGGAAAGUUUCGGCGGUUGGGGAUGGACUCGCGGCUUAUCAGCUUGUUGGUGGGGUAGUGGCUUACCAAGGCUUUGACGGGUAGCCGGCCUGAGAGGGUGACCGGCCACAUUGGGACUGAGGUACGGCCCAGACGCCUACGGGAGGCAGCAGGGGGGAAUAUUGCACAAUGGGCGGAAGCCUGAUGCAGCAACGCCGGGUGCGGGAUGACGGCCUUCGGGUUGUAAACCGCUUUCGCCUGUGACGAAGCGUGAGUGACGGUAAUGGGUAAAGAAGCACCGGCUAACUACGUG